This is a long non-coding RNA of Frieseomelitta varia, 1821 nucleotides long. RefSeq lists it as uncharacterized. NCBI's taxonomy places the organism in Eukaryota, Metazoa, Arthropoda, Insecta, Hymenoptera, Apidae. The record is from RefSeq and is a predicted model, not a curated record. The transcript has 2 exons.
AAAGGAGAGAGAGAGAGAGAGAGAGAGAGAGAAAGAAAGAAAGAAAACGAGAUAGAAGAGGACAGAUGCAGUAGCGAGGAACGAUAGAACGAGUAAACGUAGUACGAUUUACACGGAAUGAAGAAAAAAGCCAGAGAGCCAAGGGGUACCACUUUUGUCAAAUUUAGAGAGCCAAUUUAGGUUUACGAUUAUGAUAUAGGGUGUGCGAGGAGGAACGAGUGCGAGAGAGCGGAAAGAAAGUGAGAAAGACAGAGAAAGAGCGAGAGAGCGAGAAGGGUAGACAGGGAGGAGGGGAGGGGAAGCAGCGAGAAAACCAAAAAGGAACGACGAAACUGGAGUGGGUACACCGUCAACGAUUUCUUUACAAUGAAAUUCAUCACCUAAUUAAAAGUUUCGUAGAGACGAAUUCCAGCGUAGCAUAGAAGCGUUCCUGUAACAACGCGUAUUAUCGCGGUCGAUCACGUGCCUCGAAUCCGUCGUCAGUUUUAUUCACACUGAAUCUCGACAAAUUAAGGUCGCGCACAAAAACGAACGUUACAAUAUUACAAUCAACCCACCGCACUGAAAGGGAAGGAACCACCGUUUCCGUCGGAUCUCAGGAACAAUCAAACGGACGUUUCCAAUUCGUCAGAUCACGCGAUUUCCGGAUACACAGAAGACCAUCGAUCCCCCGUAGUUAACAUUGUAUCGUGCCGUGGUCGCUUGCCGGCGUAAUCGGCGCACGUUAUCGAUCGCGCGAUCACGCGACACGGACGACCGAUUCUCGAUAUAUCGACGAGGGAGUAAUUUUCGCAACGUUCGAAGAGCGCGCGCGUGUCCUACCACUCGCAACGGUUUCUAAUUUAUCUGUGCGAGACAAUUACGUCCGGAUUUAUUUCGAAAGGGAACACGGAGGAGUACGGGCGAACGAGAGAGAGAGAGAGAGAGAGAGAGAGAGAGAGAGGGAGAGAAGAGGGAGAGAGUGUGUGCGAGUGAACGAGAGAGAGAGAGAGAGAGAGAGAUUGAACGAGAAAAAAAAAAGUAAUGAAGAGACAAGGACAAAGGUGAAAAGAAUUUAAACAAAUACGAUUAGACGACGUUCCGUGGGAGAAAAAAGAACUCGGCCGGGAACUCCUCCGACGAUUUCUUUUUCUUUCGUCCCCCGGUGAAAUGUUUGGGAUCGAGCACGCGAAAUUCCAUGGUGCUGAUCCCUCACGUGAAACCGUUUUUAACCGUAGUUCUGUAUAUAUCCACUGGUUCGGCCAGCCGGCAAACGAAAAGAAGAUGAAACAAAAAGAAAAAAAAAAAAAGUGAGAGAAAAAGAGGGAGAGAAAAAAAAGAAAAUUUUUCGAAAUGCAGCACUGCUACGAUUCGAGGAGUUCAUGGCGGGAUCUACGCGGAAUGAAUUAAUAUAAAGCGUUAGUGACUGUAUCCAGUAUAAUAUAUCUGAUAAAAGAUACCCCUGAUGCCAGACAUGGCGUGUGACAAUAAAGUGAUUCAAUGAUCUCGUCGCAUUUCAAUCGCAGCCACCUUUCACGAUACACACAGGCACACCCACACACACUCUAUAUAUAUAUACAUAUAUAUACACAUACAUACAUACAUACAUACACACACACAAACACACACACAUACACACACGAGACACGUGCAUAUAGACAUGUAUAUUUUAAACGCAAAACGAGAACGUUUUUUUUGUAAAGUACGAGACGACACCGCCGGAAUUCAACGAUCACGAUGUGUAAAAGAAAGUAUCUCAUCGUUUUUCCGAUUACUCGUUACUCCGCUGUUAAUUGAUAAUGUCAGUAAUAUUUUUAACAAAAUAAAGCUACCUUAUUCAAA